UUAAGAUUUAUUGGCCAUGAAUUGAUUUAAUUCCUAAUGUUAAGAUCUGCUUAAUUCAAUUCCGAGAAUCCCGAAGAGGACACUGGUGAUUUCAGAAUUGCAUCUCCAGCUGCUAAGACCUCCAUGACCCUUCUUCAUCUCUUGCUUCAUGGAAAGAUGAUUCAAGUGCUUGUUCAUGGAACCGGGUUCAAUGCAAUCCAGCAACAGGAAGAGUCACUAAGAUCAAUCUUGCUGGGUUGGAAUUAUCUGGAAGAAUUGGAAAAGGCCUUGAGAAAUUGCAGCAUCUAAUGUUGUUUCAGGUGUUUCAGUUCACUUUGUUCUACCUUAAUGGAUGCCAAAUUUUGACUUCAAUACGUGAUCUGUUUAAGUUGUGUUUAUGAGGUAAAUUUUUUAACAUUUUCAUUUGCUGAUAUUGUAUUAUUUCAUUCGAAAAGGAGAAAAAAGAAUUGGCUAUUUUAGGUGAUAAUAUAACAUCUCCUGCCCAGUCAAGUUUUCAGUACAAUAUCUGCACAUGGAAAACUUGCAAGAUUUGGAUAUGCCUAAUCCUUCAGUAAAAAACUUGUGUGAGCCUGUAUAUACCAUGACUUUGUGCAGUUUUUGUUCCUUUUUAAGCUUAACGGUGUUUGUUGCGCCUCCGUGUCCCGUUCUUAUUUCCCUCCAUUACUGAUUUGCCUUUGAGGUGCUAUAAAUGGCAAUUCCAUAACGGAAGCUCAA
Molecule: non-coding RNA, 714 nt
Organism: Arachis ipaensis
Lineage: Eukaryota; Viridiplantae; Streptophyta; Magnoliopsida; Fabales; Fabaceae
Source: RefSeq, a predicted model, not a curated record